Hevea brasiliensis (rubber tree) is the source of this 3070-nucleotide RNA transcript. It is a transcript of the gene named squalene monooxygenase SE2-like, with no coding region annotated. NCBI's taxonomy places the organism in Eukaryota, Viridiplantae, Streptophyta, Magnoliopsida, Malpighiales, Euphorbiaceae. The record is from RefSeq and is a predicted model, not a curated record. The transcript is spliced from 7 exons.
UUUCUAUUUAGCUUAAGCCCAUUGAAAACUGUUUAGCUUAAACCCAACAAUUACCUAAUUAAGGGAUUGGAUCAGUCAAUCAUGAAUAGUAAAUUUGAGAAUAUCUCUGUUUUUUCCAUUUUUCAGAAAUAUCUCAGUCCACCCGCCGUGGAAACACGCUCCUGCCUCUCCUUACUUUGGUAACUUCUCUCUCUAUCUCUCCUCUUUGUUCUUUUCCUCCAGUUUUCUAGUGUAAGGAUUAUUAUGGGUUCAAUUUGUUUGCGUAUAUUUGUUUUCUGACGAAAGUUUUGUACGAUUUGCUAUGGGUAGAUGAAGAUUUGUUCUUGGGAUGGUUAAUGUGAACAAAAUCAAUGAGGUUCUAGCUAUUUGGAAAGAUAUUAUAUGUGAGGUUCAGCAGCACAUGAAUGAUCAAAAGGGUAUUGAGUAAAAGCUGCUACUGAUAAAUUCAUUUUCUUCUUCCAAAAUAGAUAUCCAUUGCAUAUUCUUAAGGAAAAAAGAAUAGAGACCCAACUUCUUCCUCCCCCAAACUGCAUGCUAGUGGUCUGCUUUAAUGUUAUUGAAGUUAUUCUGUCGUUUGUUUCUAUACCAUUUGUCAUCUGUUUCUUUUUCAUUAAUUUGUGGAUUAAAAUUAUCAUGCUGAUAUAGUUGUUCCUGUUUGUCUCUCCUGCUUUUGCUUCUGUGGGCUUUGAAAUCCCUGAAAGUGUUUUUAACCUUUCUUAAUUCAAUUCUUUUUGACUAAUUCAAUUGUUGAUUAAGUACUAUCUUGUUGUAGUUCUUUGACUAGUGAUAACAUUUACCUGCAAAUGAAGGGUAUAAAGGGCUCUUAAGUUCUAUUACAAGUGCAACAAAAAGAACUCUCACUUCAAAAGCAUUAGCAAUCAGUCUAGUGAGAGAAAAAGAAACUUUGGAGGGAAGAUCCAUUUACAUCUCCUUUUAUCACAUUUACGUUCAUCUAAUGGAUUGUCUGUUUGGGUUGGGAGGAAUUAUAACUUCUAUUUUGGCAGUGGUUUUUUGGUAUAUCUUUAGAGUAAAGAAGACAAGUUCGUCAGUAAAGAACUUAAGAGAUGGGAAUUUUUGAAGCGCUCCAGAACAAAAAUACGUUUUUCUGAUGUAGCAACAAAUACUGACAUAAUCAUUGUUGGUGCUGGUGUUGCUGGUUCAGCUCUUGCUUACACGCUUGGCAAGGAUGGCUGCCAAUUGUCUGUAAUUGAAAGAGACCUGACUGAACCUGAUAGAAUUGUUGGUGAACUCCUACAGCCUGGGGGCUAUCUAAAAUUGAUUGAGUUGGGUCUUGAGUUAUGGGAAACUCUUCAUAUACACUACAGAGUGCCUGGGGGCUAUCUAAAAUCGAUUUGAGUUGGGUCUUGAGGGUAUGGGAAACUCAUCAUAUACACUACAAAGUUUUUCAAGAACCAACUUACAUAUUUGAAAAUUCUAUUACAGCUUUUGUUUUUGGUGUAAUAUGCGAAAUCUUUAAUUAAUUUUCUGACAUGGGAGUAUGUAUUUGUGGAUGUGGAUUGUGUUGAACAGAGAUGCUCAACAAGUAUUUGGAUAUGCUAUUUACAAAGAUGGAAAAAGUACUAAGCUAUCUUGUCCUCUGCAAAGUUUUCAAUUGGAUGUAGCUGGAAGAAGUUUCCACAAUGGACGUUUCAUACAAAGAAUGUGUGAGAAGGCUGCAACUCUUGCCAAUGUAACAUUGGGGCAAGGGACAGUAAUAUCUCUCCUUGAAGAAAAGGGCACUAUUAAAGGGGUGUUGUACAAAACAGAAACUGGACAAGAAUUGAGAGCAUAUGCUCGCCUUACAAUAGUAUGUGAUGGUUGUUUUUCAAACCUACAGUGCUCGCUUUGCAAACCUAAGGUGAAGAAUCUGUUAGUUUAAUUUAACCAAGUUAAUUUAUUAAAGAAGCUUGAUCUUACGGUAUGAGUUCCAUGGGAAGAAAACUCAACUUCUCACUUUUCACACUAUAUGGUUUCCAAUUGAUAUUAACAGAGGUUAGAAACAAUUCAGCAGGUUGAUAUCCCUUCCUUUUUUGUUGCCUUGGUUCUAGAGAACUGUGAUCUUCCAUAUAAAAAUCAUGGACAUGAUGUUCUUGCCGAUCCUUCACCCAUCUUGUUUUAUCCAAUCAGUAGCACUGAGGUCUGUUGUUUAGUUGAUGUGCCUGGACAGAAGGUAGCCUCCAUUUCCAAUGGUGAAAUGGCUUAAUAUUUGAGAACAGUGGCGGCUCAACAGAUACCUUUUGAGCUGCAUGCUUCUUCAUAUCUGCAAUUGAAAAGGGAAAUGUACAAACAAUGCCAAACAAAAGCAUGCCAGCUUCUCCAUAUCCAACUCCCAUUGCAUUGUUGCUGGAUCUGCAUUCAACUUACGUCAUCCUUUAACGGGUGGAGGGAUGACUGAGGCUCUCUCUGACAUAGUUUUGUUAAGCAACCUUCUUAGACCUCUACACAAUCUUAAUGAUGCAGCUAAUCUCUGCAAGUACCUUGAGUCCUUCUAUACUAUCGGAAAGUUAAGCAGCAUUCAUGUGUAUCCUAUAUGAAACCUGUGCAUCUUUAGCCAAUGGCAUCUACAAUAAAUACAUUGGUUAGUGCCCUUUCCAAGGUUUUCUCUACAUCAACUGAUCUUGCAAGGAAUGAAUUGCGGCAAGCAUGUUUCGGCUAUUUGUGUUUUGGUGGUGCUUUUUCAAACGGAUCAAGUUUAGUCCUACAUUUCUUUGUUGUGGCUGUCUGUGGUGUUGGUCUCUUAAUACUUCCAUUUCCUUCACCUAAAAGCAUAUGGACUGGUGCUAAAUUGAUGAAGGCUGCAUCAAUUUUCAACUUUCCCAUAAUGAAGGCCAAAGGAGUUAGACGGGUAUUCUUCCUAGUAACCAUGCCAUCACAUCAUAGAGCUUCUCCUUGAUAUUCAACAUUUGAAAACAAGUAGCAUGACACUUUUGUAAGUUCUAGGAAAAAGUUUUGCAGUGUAUAUUGUGUAUCAAUAUUUUCGGAAUUUGACUCCGAAGAAGUAUUCAUUAAUUGUUGAAUUAUUCCAAUUUCAAAUGAUACAAGCAUGAAAUUCAUUAUUCAGCGUUCUCGA